This 677-nucleotide ribosomal RNA is filed under the name bacterium 20-L049642-122-014-D03. RNAcentral's name for it is "bacterial SSU rRNA". It matches the Rfam family "Bacterial small subunit ribosomal RNA", at positions 61 to 749 of the family's 1533-position model. The record is from RNAcentral.
GUCGAACGGUGAACACGGAGCUUGCUCUGUGGGAUCAGUGGCGAACGGGUGAGUAACACGUGAGCAACCUGCCCCUGACUCUGGGAUAAGCGCUGGAAACGGCGUCUAAUACUGGAUAUGUGACGUGACCGCAUGGUCUGCGUCUGGAAAAAAUUUCGGUUGGGGAUGGGCUCGCGGCCUAUCAGCUUGUUGGUGAGGUGAUGGCUCACCAAGGCGACGACGGGUAGCCGGCCUGAGAGGGUGACCGGCCACACUGGGACUGAGACACGGCCCAGACUCCUACGGGAGGCAGCAGUGGGGAAUAUUGCACAAUGGGCGCAAGCCUGAUGCAGCAACGCCGCGUGAGGGACGACGGCCUUCGGGUUGUAAACCUCUUUUAGCAGGGAAGAAGCGAAAGUGACGGUACCUGCAGAAGAAGCGCCGGCUAACUACGUGCCAGCAGCCGCGGUAAUACGUAGGGCGCAAGCGUUAUCCGGAAUUAUUGGGCGUAAAGAGCUCGUAGGCGGUUUGUCGCGUCUGCUGUGAAAUCCGGAGGCUCAACCUCCGGCCUGCAGUGGGUACGGGCAGACUAGAGUGCGGUAGGGGAGAUUGGAAUUCCUGGUGUAGCGGUGAAAUGCGCAGAUAUCAGGACGAACACCGAUGGCGAAGGCAGAUCUCUGGGCCGUAACUGACGCUGA